AUACGUAGGUGACAAGCGUUAUCCGGAUUUACUGGGCGUAAAGGGCGUGUAGGCGGUCUUGCAAGUCAGAAGUGAAAUUCCUGAGCUCAACUCGGGCGCUGCUUCUGAAACUGCAGGACUUGAGUGCUGGAGGGGAUAGCGGAAUUCCUAGUGGAGCGGUAAAAUGCGCAGAUAUUAGGAAGAACACCGGUGGCGAAGGCGUGUAACAGGGCAGAAACGGAGGGUGAGGGGGGAAAGCGGGGGGAGCAAAAAGGAUUAGAUACCCUGGGUGUCCACGCCGUAAACGAUGAAUACUAGGUGUAGGGGGUAUCGACUCCCUCUGUGCCGCAGUUAACACAAUAAGUAUUCCGCCUGGGGAGUACGGCCGCAAGGUUGAAACUCAAAGGAAUUGACGGGG
This 397-nucleotide ribosomal RNA is filed under the name uncultured bacterium. RNAcentral's name for it is "partial 16S ribosomal RNA". It matches the Rfam family "Bacterial small subunit ribosomal RNA", at positions 523 to 918 of the family's 1533-position model. The record is from RNAcentral.